AUUGAACGCUGGCGGCAGGCCUAACACAUGCAAGUCGAGCGGUAGCACAGAGAGCUUGCUCUCGGGUGACGAGCGGCGGACCGGUGAGUAAUGUCUGGGAAACUGCCUGAUGGAGGGGGAUAACUACUGGAAACGGUAGCUAAUACCGCAUAACGUCGCAAGACCAAAGUGGGGGACCUUCGGGCCUCAUGCCAUCAGAUGUGCCCAGAUGGGAUUAGCUAGUAGGUGGGGUAAUGGCUCACCUAGGCGACGAUCCCUAGCUGGUCUGAGAGGAUGACCAGCCACACUGGAACUGAGACACGGUCCAGACUCCUACGGGAGGCAGCAGUGGGGAAUAUUGCACAAUGGGCGCAAGCCUGAUGCAGCCAUGCCGCGUGUGUGAAGAAGGCCUUCGGGUUGUAAAGCACUUUCAGCGGGGAGGAAGGCGAUAAGGUUAAUAACCUUGUCGAUUGACGUUACCCGCAGAAGAAGCACCGGCUAACUCCGUGCCAGCAGCCGCGGUAAUACGGAGGGUGCAAGCGUUAAUCGGAAUUACUGGGCGUAAAGCGCACGCAGGCGGUCUGUCAAGUCGGAUGUGAAAUCCCCGGGCUCAACCUGGGAACUGCAUUCGAAACUGGCAGGCUAGAGUCUUGUAGAAGGGGGUAGAAUUCCAGGUGUAGCGGUGAAAUGCGUAGAGAUCUGGAGGAAUACCGGUGGCGAAGGCGGCCCCCUGGACAAAGACUGACGCUCAGGUGCGAAAGCGUGGGGAGCAAACAGGAUUAGAUACCCUGGUAGUCCACGCCGUAAACGAUGUCGAUUUGGAGGUUGUGCCCUUGAGGCGUGGCUUCCGGAGCUAACGCGUUAAAUCGACCGCCUGGGGAGUACGGCCGCAAGGUUAAAACUCAAAUGAAUUGACGGGGGCCCGCACAAGCGGUGGAGCAUGUGGUUUAAUUCGAUGCAACGCGAAGAACCUUACCUGGUCUUGACAUCCACAGAACUUUCCAGAGGUGGAUUGGUGCCUUCGGGAACUGUGAGACAGGUGCUGCAUGGCUGUCGUCAGCUCGUGUUGUGAAAUGUUGGGUUAAGUCCCGCAACGAGCGCAACCCUUAUCCUUUGUUGCCAGCGGUUAGGCCGGGAACUCAAAGGAGACUGCCAGUGAUAAACUGGAGGAAGGUGGGGAUGACGUCAAGUCAUCAUGGCCCUUACGACCAGGGCUACACACGUGCUACAAUGGCAUAUACAAAGAGAAGCGACCUCGCGAGAGCAAGCGGACCUCAUAAAGUAUGUCGUAGUCCGGAUUGGAGUCUGCAACUCGACUCCAUGAAGUCGGAAUCGCUAGUAAUCGUAGAUCAGAAUGCUACGGUGAAUACGUUCCCGGGCCUUGUACACACCGCCCGUCACACCAUGGGAGUGGGUUGCAAAAGAAGUAGGUAGCUUAACCUUCGGGAGGGCGCUUACCACUUUGUGAUUCAUGACUGGGGUGA
This 1463-nucleotide ribosomal RNA is filed under the name uncultured Klebsiella sp. Its description in RNAcentral is "bacterial SSU rRNA". It matches the Rfam family "Bacterial small subunit ribosomal RNA". Lineage: Bacteria; Pseudomonadati; Pseudomonadota; Gammaproteobacteria; Enterobacterales; Enterobacteriaceae. The record is from RNAcentral.